This is a long non-coding RNA of Hordeum vulgare subsp. vulgare (domesticated barley), 1531 nucleotides long. RefSeq lists it as uncharacterized. The record is from RefSeq and is a predicted model, not a curated record. The transcript has 2 exons. Lineage: Eukaryota; Viridiplantae; Streptophyta; Magnoliopsida; Poales; Poaceae.
UUGAUUGACAUGAUGGUUUAGAAAAUGCAAAGCUGUUAAACAAGCUCUCUGCAUCAGCCGCCAUAUAACAAAAAGGCUGUUGCGCAUUGUAUGCAGUUUAGAUUUUUCCUAUAUUUAAAUAACACCCUUUAGACUUUAUUCUGCUAACACCACCUUCUACCAGCGGCCCAAAAAACUGCAUUAGCCCCGAAUAAACACCACCUUCUACCCCCGCAGCAACCCCACCUCUAUGCCCACCUUCUUCCCCGCACGGCCGCACCUACCCUGCUCCCUUUCCCUGGUGUCGCGGCAGCCCAAGAUCCGCGCAGCUCCGGCGAGCUCGCCGCCACCCAUGAGCCUCUCCGUGUGACGUCGUCGCUCCUCACCACCUCCCUGCGUGUCCGCCGUUGCAGAUUGACUGUCGCGUGCAUCCGGGCGCUGCCAUCCACCGCGCCCACGCCGACGGACUCACCCUGCCACCGGCAUCUCCCCCUCCAGCCUUCUCCUCCCGGCGCCCCCGCAUUAGCUACAUCUGCCGAGGAGGCCGGAUCCCGCGAUGGGAGGGGGUGGCGGCCGUGAGUGUGUCCGUGAAGGCUAGAUCCAACGCUGGGAAGGGCCGGUGGCUGCGCGUGUGCCUAGGCAGGAUCUUGCGCUUUUGCACCAUGGAAACGGCAUCGCGGCCAUGGAGCUUCUGCUCCCGGUGAGGGAGGACGCCGGUUGGCUCUGCGUGGGGUACCCGCUCUGCGAGAUCCGGUGCACUGCAGUACGGUUCCGUAGGCGUCACAGUCCCCGGGCGGGCGCGUGCGCAGUGCAUUUGAGCAGUGAGGUGGCAUUCCAGCGCCAUCUGCCAUGGAUCUCCAGUCAAAGCUUGACGUAGCCAUCGCAGUCUCGCAGACAGUCUUGCUGAGAAGGAACAUAACCGGAAGCUGACCGUGGAGAACGAGAAGCUCCAGUACCGUGUCUCCCACCUCAUCCGAACAAUCAAAGAGGCGGAGUCAAGAUAGAAGAAGCCUCUGAUAAGCUGGAUGCAGUAAAACUAGUUCUAUUUUUUGUUUGGAGAGAGCCGUGAGGACGGUCAGCUCGCGAACCUGUCUUAUCUGCUCGGUCUUGUUGUCUGUCGGAGUUGGCUUGAACUGUUCUUGUGAGCUUGAUGAAAUGGGUCUGGUACGUGUAAGUUUAUAUAGCAGUAAUGUAUUGAUCAGGUCAGUUAUUUGUGUCAACGGACAUUGAACAGCGUGUUGCAAGCUUGGGGAUGGAUUUGAAGAAGCUGGAGAAGAAAAACAAUCUACGUGUGCAAAGCUUAUUCUUGAGUAGUGGUGUUAUUUCCUGGGUGCUAGGGUGGAACGCUUGGGAAUGGAUUUUGAAUUCGGGAGUUCGGAUGUGAUUCGUCGACAGAGAUAGGGGCAGUGUUCUUAGGCACCUUUGGACAUGCAGUUCGUCCACGUGUUUUUGUGUUUUCUUUAGCACUGUUGUUCAGUUUAGUUCUCUCGCAACGACGAAUCCCAAAAGUGCACUGUACUCCAGUUCAGAAAAAUUGAGGUUUGUUUUUGUU